UGGGGAAUAUUGGACAAUGGGGGCAACCCUGAUCCAGCAAUGCCGCGUGAGUGAAGAAGGCCUUCGGGUUGUAAAGCUCUUUUGUCAGGGAAGAAACGGCUGGGGCUAAUAUCCUCGGCUAAUGACGGUAGCUGAAGAAUAAGCCCCGGCUAACUUCGUUCCAGCAGCCGCGGUAAGACGAAGGGGGCUAGCGUUGUUCGGAAUUACUGGGCGUAAAGCGCGUGUAGGCGGUUGUCCAAGUCGGGUGUGAAAGCCUUGAGCUCAACUCAAGAAAUGCACUCGAUACUGGGCGACUAGAGUGCCGGAGAGGAUAGUGGAAUUCCCAGUGUAGUGGUGAAAUACGUAGAGAUUGGGAAGAACACCAGUGGCGAAGGCGGCUAUCUGGACGGUUACUGACGCUAAGACGCGAAAGCGUGGGGAGCAAAC
RNAcentral lists this ribosomal RNA (426 nucleotides) under uncultured bacterium. Its description in RNAcentral is "bacterial SSU rRNA". It matches the Rfam family "Bacterial small subunit ribosomal RNA", at positions 355 to 773 of the family's 1533-position model. The record is from RNAcentral.